This 35-nucleotide ribosomal RNA is filed under the name Acer pensylvanicum (striped maple). Its description in RNAcentral is "partial 25S ribosomal RNA". Lineage: Eukaryota; Viridiplantae; Streptophyta; Magnoliopsida; Sapindales; Sapindaceae. The record is from RNAcentral.
GCGACCCCAGGUCAGGCGGGAUCACCUGCUGAGUU